AGAGUUUGAUCAUGGCUCAGAUUGAACGCUGGCGGCAGGCCUAACACAUGCAAGUCGAGCGGUAGCACAGAGAGCUUGCUCUCGGGUGACGAGCGGCGGACGGGUGAGUAAUGUCUGGGAAACUGCCUGAUGGAGGGGAAUAACUACUGGAAACGGUAGCUAAUACCGCAUAAUGUCGCAAGACCAAAGUGGGGGACCUUCGGGCCUCAUGCCAUCAGAUGUGCCCAGAUGGGAUUAGCUAGUAGGUGGGGUAACGGCUCACCUAGGCGACGAUCCCUAGCUGGUCUGAGAGGAUGACCAGCCACACUGGAACUGAGACACGGUCCAGACUCCUACGGGAGGCAGCAGUGGGGAAUAUUGCACAAUGGGCGCAAGCCUGAUGCAGCCAUGCCGCGUGUGUGAAGAAGGCCUUCGGGUUGUAAAGCACUUUCAGCGGGGAGGAAGGCGUUAAGGUUAAUAACCUUGGCGAUUGACGUUACCCGCAGAAGAAGCACCGGCUAACUCCGUGCCAGCAGCCGCGGUAAUACGGAGGGUGCAAGCGUUAAUCGGAAUUACUGGGCGUAAAGCGCACGCAGGCGGUCUGUCAAGUCGGAUGUGAAAUCCCCGGGCUCAACCUGGGAACUGCAUUCGAAACUGGCAGGCUAGAGUCUUGUAGAGGGGGGUAGAAUUCCAGGUGUAGCGGUGAAAUGCGUAGAGAUCUGGAGGAAUACCGGUGGCGAAGGCGGCCCCCUGGACAAAGACUGACGCUCAGGUGCGAAAGCGUGGGGAGCAAACAGGAUUAGAUACCCUGGUAGUCCACGCCGUAAACGAUGUCGAUUUGGAGGUUGUGCCCUUGAGGCGUGGCUUCCGGAGCUAACGCGUUAAAUCGACCGCCUGGGGAGUACGGCCGCAAGGUUAAAACUCAAAUGAAUUGACGGGGGCCCGCACAAGCGGUGGAGCAUGUGGUUUAAUUCGAUGCAACGCGAAGAACCUUACCUGGUCUUGACAUCCACAGAACUUUCCAGAGAUGGAUUGGUGCCUUCGGGAACUGUGAGACAGGUGCUGCAUGGCUGUCGUCAGCUCGUGUUGUGAAAUGUUGGGUUAAGUCCCGCAACGAGCGCAACCCUUAUCCUUUGUUGCCAGCGGUCCGGCCGGGAACUCAAAGGAGACUGCCAGUGAUAAACUGGAGGAAGGUGGGGAUGACGUCAAGUCAUCAUGGCCCUUACGACCAGGGCUACACACGUGCUACAAUGGCAUAUACAAAGAGAAGCGACCUCGCGAGAGCAAGCGGACCUCAUAAAGUAUGUCGUAGUCCGGAUUGGAGUCUGCAACUCGACUCCAUGAAGUCGGAAUCGCUAGUAAUCGUAGAUCAGAAUGCUACGGUGAAUACGUUCCCGGGCCUUGUACACACCGCCCGUCACACCAUGGGAGUGGGUUGCAAAAGAAGUAGGUAGCUUAACCUUCGGGAGGGCGCUUACCACUUUGUGAUUCAUGACUGGGGUGAAGUCGUAACAAGGUAACCGUAGGGGAACCUGCGGUUGGAUCACCU
Molecule: ribosomal RNA, 1528 nt
Filed under: Klebsiella pneumoniae
Lineage: Bacteria; Pseudomonadati; Pseudomonadota; Gammaproteobacteria; Enterobacterales; Enterobacteriaceae
Description: bacterial SSU rRNA
Rfam family: Bacterial small subunit ribosomal RNA
Source: RNAcentral